GCUAAGACUGGAUAGGAAGAUAAAAGGCAUCUUUUAUCUUUUAAAAGACCUAGUAAUAGGUAUGCUUUAGGAGGGGCUUGCGCCAUAUUAGUUAGUUGGUAGGGUAAUGGCCUACCAAGACGAUGAUGUGUAGCUGGACUGAGAGGUUGAACAGCCACAUUGGGACUGAGACACGGCCCAAACUCCUACGGGAGGCAGCAGUAGGGAAUUUUCGGCAAUGGAGGAAACUCUGACCGAGCAACGCCGCGUGAAUGACGAAGUACUUCGGUAUGUAAAGUUCUUUUAUCAAGGAAGAAAAGCAAAUGGCGAACCAUUUGUUUGCCGGUACUUGAUGAAUAAGCCCCGGCUAAUUAUGUGCCAGCAGCCGCGGUAAGACAUAAGGGGCAAGUGUUAUCCGGAAUUAUUGGGCGUAAAGGGUGCGUAGGCGGUCUAGUAAGUCAGUGGUGUAAUGGCAACGCUUAACGUUGUCCGGCUAUUGAAACUGCUAAACUUGAGUUAGAUAGAGGCGAGUGGAAUUCCAUGUGUAGCGGUAAAAUGCGUAAAUAUAUGGAGGAACACCAGAGGCGUAGGCGGCUCGCUGGGUCUUAACUGACGCUGAGGCACGAAAGCGUGGGGAGCAAACAGGAUUAGAUACCCUGGUAGUCCACGCCGUAAACGAUGAGUACUAAGUGUCGGGUUAAACCGGUACUGAAGUUAACACAUUAAGUACUCCGCCUGAGUAGUACGUACGCAAGUAUGAAACUUAAAGGAAUUGACGGGACUCCGCACAAGCGGUGGAUCAUGUUGUUUAAUUCGAAGAUACCCGAAAAACCUUACCAGGUCUUGACAUGUUUUUGCAAAAUGAUAGUAAUAUCGUGGAGGUUACCAGAAACACAGGUGGUGCAUGGUUGUCGUCAGCUCGUGU
Molecule: ribosomal RNA, 904 nt
Filed under: Candidatus Phytoplasma citri
Lineage: Bacteria; Bacillati; Mycoplasmatota; Mollicutes; Acholeplasmatales; Acholeplasmataceae
Description: bacterial SSU rRNA
Rfam family: Bacterial small subunit ribosomal RNA
Source: RNAcentral